This 999-nucleotide long non-coding RNA is filed under the name Pan troglodytes (chimpanzee). Its description in RNAcentral is "long non-coding RNA NONPTRT009310". The record is from RNAcentral. Lineage: Eukaryota; Metazoa; Chordata; Mammalia; Primates; Hominidae.
CUGAGUUUCCCUGGCGACAUUGUCCGUGUCCAGGCCUGGCUCCCCUAAACAGCCUUGCUCACUCUGGACCCCUGGCUGCCUCUGCUGCAGGAAAAGCCUGGCGCACCCAUCUGCAAAGCUCCAGGAGCAGAGGGUGAGCCCGGAGGCGAGAGGGGCGGCGACCCCCCAGUCAGGAGGGCUGUUUUUUGCCAACCCGAUUAAUUGGCUGUGGCUGCCUGAUGUCGUGAGGAGGAUUCCGAAGCUGAGUGGAGGCUUGGGAGGAGCUCUGUGGGUAUUGGUGGCAUCCCCCUGCCUGUGGAGGGUGAGGUGACAGCCGGGGGACGCUUCCUGACCUGGCCCAGAUCGUGGAGAGGGAAGUGCAGGCGGAGGGAGGAGCCACACACUGCAGGUGCAGCUCCGUGAGAGCCUGGAGCCCGGGCCUAGUCUUGGCUUGACGGAAGCCACAAGGCCAAGAACCUUUGAAGAGGUCAGCUCCACUCUCACAGCUGGCAUCCCAGGCUCAUCCAGGCAGACAAGAUGAGCGAGGGUUGAGAGGAGGAGUGUGGAGGAGGGGAGGCCACUCCGGGUGCCCCCCAUGCACCCCACCAGGGCUGAGGUGCCCACGACUGGGCAGAAGCCGGGCAGCAGGUGGAUCUGCUGUUGACCGUGGCCCCACUGCAGAUGCCCUCCACUGCGGCUGCCCUCGAGAGUGGCCCAGGUCUCCUGCACGGGCCAGGCACUCAACUGAAUUGGGUCUCACAGCCCUGCCCACAGAGGGUGCUCUGGCUGGGGCCUGGCCCCGGUGUUUUCAGAGCAGGGGACAUCGGUGAGAAUGCCUCCACCUUUGCUACAGAGACACCUCCCAACCUCUGUGGGGCUCUUUCCACUCUUGAUCACACAAAGAAGCCCACGACACUGAAUGGCUUUCAAAACAAGCCUCAGAAAUGAAAACCGGCUUUUCAAGGGGUGAUAGGUCUGGAAAUGGGGAAAAAAGCAGAGUCCUCAUCACUCAGAUAUCCU